GACGUAGGGUGCAAGCGUUAAUCGGAAUUACUGGGCGUAAAGCGUGCGCAGGCGGUUUUGUAAGCCAGAUGUGAAAUCCCCGGGCUUAACCUGGGAAUGGCAUUUGGGACUGCAAGGCUUGAGUGCGGCAGAGGAGACUGGAAUUCCUGGUGUAGCAGUGAAAUGCGUAGAUAUCAGGAGGAAUACCGAUGGCGAAGGCAGGUCUCUGGGCUGACACUGACGCUCAUGCACGAAAGCGUGGGGAGCAAACAGG
RNAcentral lists this ribosomal RNA (253 nucleotides) under uncultured bacterium. RNAcentral's name for it is "partial 16S ribosomal RNA". It matches the Rfam family "Bacterial small subunit ribosomal RNA", at positions 524 to 776 of the family's 1533-position model. The record is from RNAcentral.